GUUGCCAUGCAGAAUGUCUAUUGAUCAGCUGGGCACAUCUGCACACAUUUACAAUAUCUGCCACCUCUUUUAACCCUCAACCCCGCCCCACAAAAUGAGUGAUGGUGCUUGUUGAUUUGCAGAUUCACGGUCUGGUGAGACAAGUUUGAGAUCUCAUAUUUUCAGCUCACCCUUGAAAACCUUUCUUGGAUUUGACUGACCUUGAUGGCUCCCUGGAAUUUCACCUACAUUUUAUGGGAACUUCAACUCUCCAGAGAGAAGAGCUUUCAGAUAGCUACAGGACUUGCAACUAUGACUUUUAGCUUUCACUUUUGAAUGAGGCUCCAAAUGUCUCAAUGGUGGCGCUAUUUCCAGAUUUGGGACAUUAAGUUUUGCAAAAUUAAAUGACUACAUUUACAGUCAUGGAGGAGAGACACUGCCUCAACUCAGUUUCUUCUGAUAUAUCUUUGAAACAGAGCCCUGCAAAGCUAAUCUGCUCAACCUUCACCUACUGGGUUCAAUGAAUAUGAAAAGCUGCCUUCCUGAAACUCUUCCUUCAAAGAGGAAAUGAUCUCCUGGAAUUCAAGCUUCUACAAGAAAACUGUGUGCAGGCCCAAGGAGAACAACUACAUGAAAUAAACCUUAUGUCUUCAGUUACAAUAA
This 642-nucleotide non-coding RNA is filed under the name Pongo abelii (Sumatran orangutan). The record is from RNAcentral. Lineage: Eukaryota; Metazoa; Chordata; Mammalia; Primates; Hominidae.